Long non-coding RNA from Vicia villosa (hairy vetch), 1008 nucleotides. RefSeq lists it as uncharacterized. The record is from RefSeq and is a predicted model, not a curated record. The transcript has 3 exons. Lineage: Eukaryota; Viridiplantae; Streptophyta; Magnoliopsida; Fabales; Fabaceae.
CACCUUACCAUGUGUGUCCGUCCCGAGAAGCAUAGUUAAUCUCUUUUUCUCACAGAAACAAAGGAAACCCUAACGAAGAAACCUUCAAUUCAAUCUUUUGAGGGUUAUUACAAUUCUCCCUUGCGUCCUUUUGUACUGAAAUUUGUUUCUGUUAAAUCGGUUGGUAAAGCUUUCUAAGUUGUUGCCCGGUUUCAUCGCCGUUGCUGCAUCCCCGGUUUCCAGAAGUUGCUGACUUUCUCUACACGUAAUUAGUUGUUCUUUUGUUAUAGUUGCAUGACUAAUUAGUGUUUUUGUUUAGCGGCUGCCCGAAUACUAAUAUGCAUGAUAAAAUAUUGAUUUAAUUCUUGUUUUGCCCACUUUUGAACUUAAUUUUUGUUUAAUUUUGAACAUGUUUGAAAUGGUCUUAAUGAACGUAAUUGUUUAUAUAAGUUGUUGCCCGAUUUCAUCGCCGAUGCUGCAUCCCCGGUUUCCAGAAGUUGCUGACUUUCUCUACAGGUAAUUAGUUGUUCUUUUGCUAUAGUUGCGUGACUAGUUAGUGUUUUUGUUUAGCUUACUUAGUAGUAAAAUCAUGGAUAAAAAUGGAUGCCUUCCAAUCGAUUGUCAAAAGAGUACGAAAAUGGAUGUUCUACAAUAUUCCAAUCUCAACUUUCAUUCACUAACAAGUUCCCUCAAGUAGUAAAACCUCAUCUCAAUGUGCUUUCUCCUCCCAUGUGCAAUUGAGUUCUUAUCAAGAUUAAUAGCGGGAACGUUAUCAACCAAGAGCGUAACCGCCUCACCCUCACUGAUGUCUAGCUUCUUCAAUAGAUUCAUUAGCCACAUGGUUUGGCACACACAUAACGAAGCGAGAAUAUACUCUGCCUCAUAAGACGAGAAUGCUAACAUCGGUUCCUUCUUCGAACACCAUGAGAUUGGUGUUCCACCGAACACAAAGAUGCAUUCAGUUGUAGACUUACAAUCAUUUUUAUCUCCGCACUAAUUGUAAUCCGUGAAAUCGCCAAAUUCGGUCGC